RNAcentral lists this signal recognition particle RNA (97 nucleotides) under Atopobium minutum. Its description in RNAcentral is "Bacterial small signal recognition particle RNA". It matches the Rfam family "Bacterial small signal recognition particle RNA". Rfam says of the family: The signal recognition particle (SRP) is a universally conserved ribonucleoprotein involved in the co-translational targeting of proteins to membranes. Archaeal SRP consists of a 7S RNA and homologues of the eukaryotic SRP19 and SRP54 proteins. RNAcentral also lists the same sequence under 1 other name. Lineage: Bacteria; Bacillati; Actinomycetota; Coriobacteriia; Coriobacteriales; Atopobiaceae. The record is from RNAcentral.
UCAGCGGGUUCGGGCGACGCCAUGUUCCGAACCUGGUCAGGGCCGGGAGGCAGCAGCCAUAAGGGGCCUCUGGCGGGCGUCCGUUCCCGCUGAGCGU